RNAcentral lists this long non-coding RNA (813 nucleotides) under Diabrotica virgifera virgifera (western corn rootworm). Its description in RNAcentral is "uncharacterized LOC114342771". Lineage: Eukaryota; Metazoa; Arthropoda; Insecta; Coleoptera; Chrysomelidae. The record is from RNAcentral.
UAUUGAGAAGUCUUGCAUAUCUUAGUCGGCUUAAAGAUCUUCAACCAUUGUUCAAUCUUUCUCCACAGUCAUUGUCUCAAAUUAUUAAUCAUAUGAUUACAUUUAUUACUGAAAAUCAUGUACAUCUUUUAACAGAUCUAAGAAAUGUUCCAUGGUUAAAUGAAGAGAGAAUGGAAACAUAUGCCGAGGCUGUACGUAUAAGAGGUGGUGCUGUUCAAAAUUGUUGGGGUUUAUAGACGGAACAGCAAGGGCAAUAUGCAAGCCAUCACAAAAUCAAGAAGAUUACUAUUCAGGGCAUAAAAGACAGCAUUGCAUAAAAUAUCAGUCUAUUUUGUGUCCAGAUGGGAUUAUCAUAAAUCUAAAAGGAGCACAUAUAGGAAGAAGACAUGAUGCUGGUAUUUAUAGGGAAUCUAAUCUUUAUAAUGAAUUAGAAGGUGUGGCUACUUUUGAGGAUAGAAAUUAUGUUUUAUAUGGGGACCAAGCUUAUCCCAUAAGUAAUUUGCUAUUAUGUCCAUAUCCUAAUAGACAAGGUUUGCUACCCCAUCAACAGGCAUUUAAUAACUCUAUGAAAGUUAUUAGAACUGCUGUAGAAUGGGGGUUUCAAAAAGUUAUAGCUCAAUUUGCAUUCUUAGAUUUAAAAAAAAAAACAGAAACUGUUAUUACAAGAUUUAGAAAAUAUGUAUAAAGUUGGCGUUAUAUUAAAUAAUUGCCAUACUUGCUUGUAUGGUAGCCAAACCUCUCAUUAUUUUGGAGUAGUACCACCAACACUUGAGAACUACCUACAUAUAGAGGAAUAAUAAAAAUGUAAUAAUA